UACGGGGGGGGCAAGCGUUGUUCGGGAUUACUGGGCGUAAAGGGCUCGUAGGCGGCCAACUAAGUCAGACGUGAAAUCCCUCGGCUUAACCGGGGAACUGCGUCUGAUACUGGAUGGCUUGAGUUUGGGAGAGGGAUGCGGAAUUCCAGGUGUAGCGGUGAAAUGCGUAGAUAUCUGGAGGAACCCCGGUGGCGAAGGCGGCAUCCUGGACCAACACUGACGCUGAGGAGCGAAAGCCAGGGGAGCAAACGGG
RNAcentral lists this ribosomal RNA (253 nucleotides) under uncultured bacterium. RNAcentral's name for it is "partial 16S ribosomal RNA". It matches the Rfam family "Bacterial small subunit ribosomal RNA", at positions 524 to 776 of the family's 1533-position model. The record is from RNAcentral.